Panicum virgatum (switchgrass) is the source of this 1332-nucleotide long non-coding RNA. RefSeq lists it as uncharacterized. The record is from RefSeq and is a predicted model, not a curated record. The transcript has 2 exons. Lineage: Eukaryota; Viridiplantae; Streptophyta; Magnoliopsida; Poales; Poaceae.
AGGUGUGUGGUCUACACAUUUUUACUUUUGGAGUCUGCAGCUUAUAGAUCUUGGGUUCGUUAUAAUUGGCUAUAUGUGCUUAUGUGCAAUGAGUCUGUCAUAAGGUCUGUGCUGCACACAUUGUUUAGUUUUGGAGCGUUCAGCUUAUAGAUCCUUGGUGCUUCAAAUUGCUGUGCCUAUUGUUUAGUUUCAAGGUAUGGGGAUUGUGAAUCUUUGUUGCACUAGCCUUACUGGUGUGAUCCUGAAUGAGUUAGAAUCAUCAUUGCCCUCAUAGGCAGUGAGUAGUGGUCACUGGUCGCCUCUUUUCAGCCCGCUGGUAGAACGAUGGUCCCGUUUCGAAACAAAACAUAGUUCACCUUGAUGAAAGGUUGGCGUGCUUUGUCCAUUCUGGCUUUUGUGCCUCUCACACUACAUGUCCCUGUGCUGUAGCUGUUUAGAUGGAUGUUCCUGGUCCUUCUCGGCGGCGUUGCAGGGAACCUGUCCAUUCCAGUGGUAGGAAUGUACGCCCUAGGUGUCCCAUGACGAACUUGGUUCAGUCACGGCGCCGGCACCGUGAGGAGGUUGCUGCAGCCACUUUGGCUGCUCAUGCCGCUUGACCAGCUUGCUUUGGCUCUCCUGAAGAUCCUGCGCGAUGGGAUCAUCUAUGAGACCAAGCACGCCACCACUACAUACUGAGGAGGCCCACGUUCCGCCCACUGUAUAUACCUACCUACUGCUACUACCUCUGCCUUGCAGUCACCAAGACAACAAUGGCCUCACCAGCUAAUGAUGGUUUCUUUUGCAUGCUCUAGCACUCAGCACGGCUAAAUAUGGUAUAGCACUUACUUUUGACUGUUGCCUUUAUCAGAUAUCAGACCACAACAUGUGCAACAGUAUUCUUUUGGGUGUUCCACCGUAAGACACCACUUACAACACUCAUCCAAAAUAUGGUUUAGAGGAAAACUCUGCAUCCACUGCACACACAAAGUCCUGCAAACCAGCUCUGAAAUCUUGAAAAGGAUGGUGCAGCCAGGCAACUCACUCAAUUUCUCAGCUGAGGAUAACACUGACCAAAAAACUGCUAAACUCUCAUUGCUGGUUUGAACUUUGUGUGUGUUUAGUUGACCAAAAUAGAUAUUGCAACUGCACUUUGUGAUCUGUGUUGUCUGUAGUAGCACAUAUUGCAUCAACAUCGCAGCCGUGCCUGUUGGAUGUGCAUAGGAAUUUCUGAAUGAACCUGUGUUGCAAACACCAAACUCUAUGCUGCAUGUGAUCCUUCAUAUUGAACCUGAAUUAUAUAUGCGUGAGUAUGUAUUUCUUUUGGACUCUAAUGGCCAGCCGUGGUGUUGUUUA